RNAcentral lists this ribosomal RNA (253 nucleotides) under uncultured bacterium. Its description in RNAcentral is "partial 16S ribosomal RNA". It matches the Rfam family "Bacterial small subunit ribosomal RNA", at positions 524 to 776 of the family's 1533-position model. The record is from RNAcentral.
UACGGAGGGUGCAAGCGUUGUCCGGAAUUAUUGGGCGUAAAGAGCUCGUAGGCGGCCUGUUGCGUCCGCUGUGAAAGCCCGGGGCUUAACCCCGGGUCUGCAGUGGAUACGGGCAGGCUAGAGGUAGGUAGGGGAGAAUGGAAUUCCCGGUGUAGCGGUGAAAUGCGCAGAUAUCGGGAGGAACACCGGUGGCGAAGGCGGUUCUCUGGGCCUUACCUGACGCUGAGGAGCGAAAGCGUGGGGAGCGAACAGG